UUGGCCUUUUGGGAGGAGCUCUGCGGUGUGACUCUGCGGUGCGACUCUGGAGCAGGGGCUGCUGGUAUCAUGAACAACACCUCAGAUGCAUUUCUGGAAGUGAAAAAGUUCCAAGUGACAGCUGGAUACAGUUGAGAUGCCACUAGUGCCCUUCCAAGUAUGUGGGAGUCAGAUGUACUGAGGGUCAAUCUGGAAGUCCAGCCGCCAUCUUCCCUACGUAAAUGGAUCCCAGACUCCAAACUUCUAGACACCAUCUUCACAUAAGCUUCUGUUGCCUCCCCUGGGACCUCUUGGAUCCCCACAAGAAAAGGGAGCAGAAAUUUACAAGAUGUCACCACGUUACAUGAUGCUGAUCUUCACACAGGGCUGCCCAGCCGUAAAACAGCACAGCACGUGACAGUCCAUACAGCCCUGCCAUCACACCAGCCCCAGACUCCCACCCUCCCACUGUCAUCUCCUUUUGGAGCCUCAGUUUUUUCAUCUGUAAAAGGGGAAUAUUAUCACCUAUAUCCCAGGGCCAGGGUGGGGAGUGGAUCCAUUGCAUAUCAGGAAACUGGUCCGCAGGAGGCCCAGAAUAAACGCCAGCUGUUCCAGUAGUUUCUGUAGGAAGGCAGAGCUUGCCUUUCAGUCACCCCACUGACAGAUAUGUCAACAGGAAGAGCGGGAUGUUGAGAGAUGCCUCCUGAGCUGAUGCUGGCAGAAGAGCUGUGACAAUCUGCCUCUAGAAAAAUCUCAGCAAGCUGCCUGGCCCAGGGGAACUCCAACCAUGACGAUGCGCCCAGAGCCUGCAAGAUGUUUCCUAAUUGUUGCUGCUCAUGAGGGACAAGCAACAGCUGAGCUAAUUCUUUUUCCCAUCAAUUUGCAACAUCUGCCCCAGCCCUUACUGGCAGUGGAAAAAUAAGGACUUUCUGGGCAUGCCUUCCGACUGUCAACCUCUGACAAGUUACGGGGCCCUUCCAGAAAUCAGACUUGUUGACUGAUAUCUGCACAGGCAUCAACAGCUUUGGGGAACAGAGAGCAGCACUGGCCUGUGGACUUUUUGUUCUCUUGCCCCAGCACAUCGUGGGAAUUGGCACACAGGAAUCCAGAAACAUGUGAAGACAACUGGGCUGGGAGAGCAGUGGGGUCCAAGCUGUGGAAUCUGUGAGGAUCACAAAGCGAUUGGGCCCUUAAUGACCUUGAGAUUUCAGGCAAGUCAUUGCGUGCAUGUGUACAGGGUGUAUUUCACAGAAGUAAGUAAGGACUGAUGGAUUGGGGCCAGCCCGGCCCAGCCUUGCUCCUUAUAGAAAGUUUGGACUUUGGUUUCCUCUGCACAGCAAGGGCAGAGCUAUGGCACCCACCUUAUAGGGUCUUGUAACAUUUUUGAGAUAUUACCACCUAAGAAGUUUGCGUAGAGACUGACAGGCUCCUAUGUUCAAUAAAAAGGGUCAUGUGAUUUAUAACAUA
Ictidomys tridecemlineatus (thirteen-lined ground squirrel) is the source of this 1446-nucleotide non-coding RNA. Lineage: Eukaryota; Metazoa; Chordata; Mammalia; Rodentia; Sciuridae. The record is from RefSeq and is a predicted model, not a curated record.